This 390-nucleotide ribosomal RNA is filed under the name uncultured bacterium. RNAcentral's name for it is "bacterial SSU rRNA". It matches the Rfam family "Bacterial small subunit ribosomal RNA", at positions 30 to 420 of the family's 1533-position model. The record is from RNAcentral.
AUUGAACGCUGGCGGCAUGCCUUACACAUGCAAGUCGAACGGCAGCACGGGGCAACCUGGUGGCGAGUGGCGAACGGGUGAGUAAUGCAUCGGAACGUGCCAUUGAGUGGGGGAUAACGUAGCGAAAGUUGCGCUAAUACCGCAUAUUCUGUGAGCAGGAAAGCAGGGGACCGCAAGGCCUUGCGCUCUUUGAGCGGCCGAUGUCAGAUUAGCUAGUUGGUGAGGUAACGGGCUUACCAAGGCGACGAUCUGUAGCGGGUCUGAGAGGAUGAUCCGCCACACUGGAACUGAGACACGGUCCAGACUCCUACGGGAGGCAGCAGUGGGGAAUUUUUGGACAAUGGGCGCAAGCCUGAUCCAGCCAUGCCGCGUGAGUGAAGAAGGCCUCGG